CCUACGGGAGGCAGCAGUGAGGAAUAUUGGUCAAUGGGCGUAAGCCUGAACCAGCCAAGUCGCGUGAGGGAUGAAGGUUCUAUGGAUCGUAAACCUCUUUUAUAAGGGAAUAAAGUGUGGGACGUGUCCUGUUUUGUAUGUACCUUAUGAAUAAGGAUCGGCUAACUCCGUGCCAGCAGCCGCGGUAAUACGGAGGAUCCGAGCGUUAUCCGGAUUUAUUGGGUUUAAAGGGUGCGUAGGCGGCCUUUUAAGUCAGCGGUGAAAGUCUGUGGCUCAACCAUAGAAUUGCCGUUGAAACUGGGAGGCUUGAGUAUGUUUGAGGCAGGCGGAAUGCGUGGUGUAGCGGUGAAAUGCUUAGAUAUCACGCAGAACCCCGAUUGCGAAGGCAGCCUGCCAAGCCAUGACUGACGCUGAUGUACGAAAGCGUGGGGAUCAAACAGGAUUAGAUACCCCGGUAGC
This 459-nucleotide ribosomal RNA is filed under the name uncultured bacterium. Its description in RNAcentral is "partial 16S ribosomal RNA". It matches the Rfam family "Bacterial small subunit ribosomal RNA", at positions 338 to 794 of the family's 1533-position model. The record is from RNAcentral.